GAACGAUUAUAGCGGCUAACGGUGCAAGUCGAGCGGAUGAAGGGAGCUUGCUCCUGGAUUCAGCGGCGGACGGGUGAGUAAUGCCUAGGAAUCUGCCUGGUAGUGGGGGAUAACGUCCGGAAACGGGCGCUAAUACCGCAUACGUCCUGAGGGAGAAAGUGGGGGAUCUUCGGACCUCACGCUAUCAGAUGAGCCUAGGUCGGAUUAGCUAGUUGGUGGGGUAAAGGCCUACCAAGGCGACGAUCCGUAACUGGUCUGAGAGGAUGAUCAGUCACACUGGAACUGAGACACGGUCCAGACUCCUACGGGAGGCAGCAGUGGGGAAUAUUGGACAAUGGGCGAAAGCCUGAUCCAGCCAUGCCGCGUGUGUGAAGAAGGUCUUCGGAUUGUAAAGCACUUUAAGUUGGGAGGAAGGGCAGUAAGUUAAUACCUUGCUGUUUUGACGUUACCAACAGAAUAAGCACCGGCUAACUUCGUGCCAGCAGCCGCGGUAAUACGAAGGGUGCAAGCGUUAAUCGGAAUUACUGGGCGUAAAGCGCGCGUAGGUGGUUCAGCAAGUUGGAUGUGAAAUCCCCGGGCUCAACCUGGGAACUGCAUCCAAAACUACUGAGCUAGAGUACGGUAGAGGGUGGUGGAAUUUCCUGUGUAGCGGUGAAAUGCGUAGAUAUAGGAAGGAACACCAGUGGCGAAGGCGACCACCUGGACUGAUACUGACACUGAGGUGCGAAAGCGUGGGGGAGCAAACAGGAUUAGAUACCCUGGUAGUCCACGCCGUAACGAUGUCGACUAGCCGUUGGGAUCCUUGAGAUCUUAGUGGCGCAGCUAACGCGAUAAGUCGACCGCCUGGGGAGUACGGCCGCAAGGUUAAAACUCAAAUGAAUUGACGGGGGCCCGCACAAGCGGUGGAGCAUGUGGUUUAAUUCGAAGCACGCGAAGACCUUACCUGGCCC
This 950-nucleotide ribosomal RNA is filed under the name Pseudomonas aeruginosa. RNAcentral describes it as "bacterial SSU rRNA". It matches the Rfam family "Bacterial small subunit ribosomal RNA", at positions 31 to 981 of the family's 1533-position model. The record is from RNAcentral. Lineage: Bacteria; Pseudomonadati; Pseudomonadota; Gammaproteobacteria; Pseudomonadales; Pseudomonadaceae.